AAAGGAAUUGACGGGGGCCCGCACAAGCGGCGGAGCAUGUGGCUUAAUUCGACGCAACGCGAAGAACCUUACCAAGGCUUGACAUCAUAUUGAAAAGUACAGAAAUGUACCUCCUUCGGGCAGUAUGACAGGUGGUGCAUGGCUGUCGUCAGCUCGUGUCGUGAGAUGUUGGGUUAAGUCCCGCAACGAGCGCAACCCUCGUCCCAUGUUGCCAGCACUUAGGGUGGGCACUCUUGGGAGACUGCCGGUGUAAAACUGGAGGAAGGUGGGGAUGACGUCAAGUCAUCAUGCCCUUUAUGUCUUGGGCUGCACACGUGCUACAAUGGUCGGUACAAAGAGGUGCGAUACUGUGAGGUGGAGCGAAUCUCAUAAAACCGAUCUAAGUCCGGAUUGAAGGCUGAAACUCGCCUUCAUGAAGUCGGAGUCGCUAGUAAUCGUGGAUCAGAACGCCACGGUGAAUACGUUCCCGGGCCUUGCACACACCGCCCGU
Molecule: ribosomal RNA, 490 nt
Filed under: uncultured bacterium
Lineage: Bacteria
Description: bacterial SSU rRNA
Rfam family: Bacterial small subunit ribosomal RNA
Source: RNAcentral